CAGUAGGAGCUUAGGCUC
Molecule: small nuclear RNA, 18 nt
Filed under: Arabidopsis thaliana (thale cress)
Lineage: Eukaryota; Viridiplantae; Streptophyta; Magnoliopsida; Brassicales; Brassicaceae
Description: snRNA_14347
Source: RNAcentral